AGGGCACCACCAGGAGUGGAGCCUGCGGCUUAAUUUGACUCAACGCGGGAAAACUCACCCGGCCCGGACACCGUAAGGAUUGACAGAUUGAGAGCUCUUUCUUGAUUCGGUGGGUGGUGGUGCAUGGCCGUUCUUAGUUGGUGGAGCGAUUUGUCUGGUUAAUUCCGAUAACGAACGAGACUCUAGCCUACUAAAUAGUGGCUGAAUUUUUAGUUCAGCGUACUUCUUAGAGGGACAAGGGGUAUCUAGCCCCACGAGAUUGAGCAAUAACAGGUCUGUGAUGCCCUUAGAUGUCCGGGGCUGCACGCGCGCUACACUGAAGGAGUCAACAUGCAUUGAAACCUAGUCUGGAAAGACCGGGUAACCCAAUGAAACUCCUUCGUGAUUGGGAUAGGGAAUUGUAAUUAUUUCCCUUGAACGAGGAAUUCCUAGUAAAUGCGGGUCAUCAUCUCGCGUUGAUUACGUCCCUGCCCUUUGUACACACCGCCCGUCGCUACUACCGAUUGGAUGUUUCGGUGA
Molecule: ribosomal RNA, 519 nt
Filed under: uncultured eukaryote
Lineage: Eukaryota
Description: SSU rRNA
Rfam family: Eukaryotic small subunit ribosomal RNA
Source: RNAcentral